This 365-nucleotide transfer-messenger RNA is filed under the name Myxococcaceae. Its description in RNAcentral is "RPRB01 sp003818285 Standard tmRNA". It matches the Rfam family "transfer-messenger RNA". Rfam says of the family: Bacterial tmRNA, also known as 10Sa RNA or SsrA, is named for its dual tRNA and mRNA-like properties. Its role is to liberate the mRNA from a stalled ribosome. To accomplish this part of the tmRNA is used as a reading frame that ends in a translation stop signal. RNAcentral also lists the same sequence under 1 other name. The record is from RNAcentral. Lineage: Bacteria; Pseudomonadati; Myxococcota; Myxococcia; Myxococcales.
GGGGGCGCCCUGGUUUCGACGGGGGCAUAGAAGCCCUUGGACGCGUGCCGAGUGGGCCUGACACUCGUAAAUCACGAAGGCAACGACACAAAAGCCAACGACAACGUUGAGCUCGCGCUGGCUGCUUAAACAGUCUUAGCGCGCGGUCACCCGGGUCUCGGCCCGUGGGCUCGGGAGUGACCGUCAGAAUGCGGGCUGGCCGUCCGGGAGGGCCCGGACCCUGGACGGCGAGACUGUUCCGGGAUGGGGUGGAGGAGAGGGCGUCCGUGCCCGCUCGCCGCCCGACUCCAAAUCGCGGACUACGCACGUAGUGUCUCGGGGUGGAAGGCUUCCGGACGCGGGUUCGAUUCCCGCCGCCUCCACAA